Molecule: ribosomal RNA, 232 nt
Filed under: uncultured bacterium
Lineage: Bacteria
Description: partial 16S ribosomal RNA
Rfam family: Bacterial small subunit ribosomal RNA
Source: RNAcentral
UACGUAGGGUGCGAGCGUUGUCCGGAAUUAUUGGGCGUGAAAGGGCGUCGUAGGCGGUUUGUCGCGUCGGGAGUGAAUCCAAUUGGCUUAACUCGGUGGCUUGCUUUACGAUACGGGCAGACUGGAGGUAUGCGAGGGGAGAACGGAAUUCCGUGGUGUAGCGGUGAAAUGCGCAGAAUAUCAGGAGGAACACCGGUGGCGAAGGCAGAUCUCUGGGCCGGUAACUGAACGC